Molecule: non-coding RNA, 96 nt
Organism: Podarcis lilfordi (Lilford's wall lizard)
Lineage: Eukaryota; Metazoa; Chordata; Lepidosauria; Squamata; Lacertidae
Source: the annotation of a GenBank genome assembly
CCUCCAGAUGUUUUGGGACUACAAUUCCCAUCAUCCCUGACCACUGGUCCUGUUAGCUAGGGGUGAUGGGAGUUGUAGUCUCAAAACAUCUGGAGG